This 2089-nucleotide ribosomal RNA is filed under the name Lepidotrigona ventralis hoosana. Its description in RNAcentral is "bacterial LSU rRNA". It matches the Rfam family "Bacterial large subunit ribosomal RNA", at positions 980 to 2925 of the family's 2925-position model. The record is from RNAcentral. Lineage: Eukaryota; Metazoa; Arthropoda; Insecta; Hymenoptera; Apidae.
GGAGUCAGACUGCGAGUGAUAAGAUCCGUAGUCGAAAGGGAAACAGCCCAGAUCACCAGUUAAGGUCCCAAAAUCUAUGCUAAGUGGAAAAGGAUGUGGAGUUGCGUAGACAACUAGGAUGUUGGCUCAGAAGCAGCCAUCAUUAAAAGAGUGCGUAAUAGCUCACUAGUCGAGUGACGCUGCGCCGAAAAUUUACCGGGGCUAAGCAUAGUACCGAAACUGUGGAUGUGCAUUGAAAGAGAUGUACGUGGUAGGAGAGCGUUCUAAAUGCGGUGAAGGCUGAUCGAGAGGACAGUUGGAGCGUUUAGAAGUGAGAAUGCCGGUAUGAGUAGCGAAAGAUAGGUGAGAAUCCUAUCCGCCGAAAGACUAAGGUUUCCUGGGGCAGGCUCGUCCGCCCAGGGUAAGUCGGGACCUAAGGCAAGGCCGAAAGGCGUAGUCGAUGGAUAACAGGUAGAAAUUCCUGUACUGCGUUUAAUCGUUAAUAGCGAAGGAGGGACGCAGGAGGCAAGGAACGCAUGGCGCUGGAAGCCAUGUUCAAGCGAUAAGUAUGAGAGUGAGUCAAAUGCUUGCUUUCGGGAAGUAUGAGUCGUGAAGAGGAGCGAAAUAAAAGUAGCGAAGGUUCUGUAGUCACACUGCCAAGAAAAGCUUCUAGUGAGAGAGAACGUACCCGUACCGCAAACCGACACAGGUAGUCGAGUGGAGAACACUAAGGUGAGCGAGAGAACUCUCGUUAAGGAACUCGGCAAAAUGACCCCGUAACUUCGGGAGAAGGGGUGCUGAUAGUAAGAUAUCAGCCGCAGUGAAUAGGCCCAAACAACUGUUUAUCAAAAACACAGGUAUCUGCAAAGUCGUAAGACGACGUAUAGGUGCUGACACCUGCCCGGUGCUGGAAGGUUAAGAGGAGAGCUUAGCGCAAGCGAAGGUUCGAAUUGAAGCCCCAGUAAACGGNUUGAAGCCCCAGUAAACGGCGGCCGUAACUAUAACGGUCCUAAGGUAGCGAAAUUCCUUGUCGGGUAAGUUCCGACCUGCACGAAAGGUGUAAUGAUUUGGGCACUGUCUCAACGAGAGACUCGGUGAAAUUAUAAUACCCGUGAAGAUGCGGGUUACCCGCGACAGGACGGAAAGACCCCAUGGAGCUUUACUGCAAUUUGAUAUUGAGUAGCUGUUAAACAUGUACAGGAUAGGUAGGAGCCGGAGAAGAUAGUACGCUAGUAUUAUCAGAGGCAAUGUUGGGAUACUACCCUUGUUUGAUGGCUGCUCUAACCUUGACCUAUAAGCUAGGUCAGGGACAGUGUCAGAUGGGCAGUUUGACUGGGGCGGUCGCCUCCUAAAGAGUAACGGAGGCGCCCAAAGGUUCCCUCAGAAUGGUUGGAAAUCAUUCACAGAGUGUAAAGGUAUAAGGGAGCUUGACUGCGAGAGAGACAACUUGGGCAGUUUGACUGGGGCGGUCGCCUCCUAAAGAGUAACGGAGGCGCCCAAAGGUUCCCUCAGAAUGGUUGGAAAUCAUUCACAGAGUGUAAAGGUAUAAGGGAGCUUGACUGCGAGAGAGACAACUCGAGCAGGGACGAAAGUCGGGCUUAGUGAUCUGGUGGUACCGCAUGGAAGGGCCAUCACUCAACGGAUAAAAGCUACCCUGGGGAUAACAGGCUUAUCUCCCCCAAGAGUUCACAUCGACGGGGAGGUUUGGCACCUCGAUGUCGGCUCGUCGCAUCCUGGGGCUGAAGUAGGUCCCAAGGGUUGGGCUGUUCGCCCAUUAAAGCGGCACGCGAGCUGGGUUCAGAACGUCGUGAGACAGUUCGGUCCCUAUCCGUCGUGGGCGUAGGAAAUUUGAGAGGAGCUGUCCUUAGUACGAGAGGACCGGGAUGGACAUACCGCUGGUGUACCAGUUGUCUUGCCAAAGGCAUAGCUGGGUAGCUAAGUAUGGCAGGGAUAAGCGCUGAAAGCAUCUAAGUGCGAAGCCCCCCUCAAGAUGAGAUUUCCCAUUUGAAAAAUAAGUAAGACACCUCAAAGACUAAGAGGUAGAUAGGCUAGGAGUGGAAGAGCCGUGAGGUUUGGAGCGGACUAGUACUAAUCAGUCGAGGACUUGACC